This 27-nucleotide small RNA is filed under the name Bombyx mori (domestic silkworm). RNAcentral's name for it is "ovarian small RNA-11753". The record is from RNAcentral. Lineage: Eukaryota; Metazoa; Arthropoda; Insecta; Lepidoptera; Bombycidae.
AGAACAACUAAACGAUGUGGUUCAUUC